RNAcentral lists this ribosomal RNA (443 nucleotides) under uncultured bacterium. Its description in RNAcentral is "bacterial SSU rRNA". It matches the Rfam family "Bacterial small subunit ribosomal RNA", at positions 954 to 1393 of the family's 1533-position model. The record is from RNAcentral.
GCUUAACGCGAAGAACCUUACCAGGGUUUGACAUGCAGGAGACCGGGGUGAAAGCUCCCUUCGGUAGCAAUACCGCUGCUGCACAGGUGCUGCAUGGCUGUCGUCAGCUCGUGUCGUGAGAUGUUGCGUUAAGUCGCGCAACGAGCGCAACCCCUGUCUUUAGUUACCAGCACGUAAUGGUGGGGACUCUAAAGAGACAAACCUCCUCUGGAGGUGGGAAGGUGGGGAUGACGUCAAGUCAGCAUGGCCCUUACACCCUGGGCUGCACACGUACUACAAUGCCCGGUACAGAGCGUUCCGAUACCGCGAGGUGGAGGCAAUCGCUAAAAGCCGGGCCCAGUUCAGACUGGAGUCUGCAACUCGACUCCAUGAAGCCGGAAUCGCUAGUAAUGGCAUAUCAGCAACGGUGCCGUGAAUACGUUCCCGGGUCUUGUACACACCGG